Molecule: transfer RNA, 69 nt
Filed under: Marmota marmota marmota (Alpine marmot)
Lineage: Eukaryota; Metazoa; Chordata; Mammalia; Rodentia; Sciuridae
Also listed under: 2 other names
Rfam family: tRNA
About the family: Transfer RNA (tRNA) molecules are approximately 80 nucleotides in length. Their secondary structure includes four short double-helical elements and three loops (D, anti-codon, and T loops).
Source: Rfam by way of RNAcentral
GUUUGUGGCUCAGUGGUAGAGCGCUCACCUAGCAUGCGUGAGGCACUGGGUUCGAUCCCUGGCACAACA